UUUACUUUUCUCUAGCUCACUUCAUUUUAAGAAUACAGUAUAUAACACAUUUAGCAUACAAAAUAGGUGUUAACUGACUAUAUUAUUGGUAAAAAUUCCAGUCGACAGUAGGCUAUUAGUGAAGAUUUUGAGGAAUUAAAAGUUAUACACAGAUUUCCAAUGGGGGAAUCAGUGACCCUAACUCCUCCAUGUAGUCCAUGAAUAAACUGUAUAUAAGUGUGUAUCUAUAUAUAUGUGUGUGCCAACACACAGUUGGCAUGUGCUUCUCAGAUAAUAGAGAAAUCACCAAAGGGAUGGUUCUAUCUACUUCAUUCAACAACUUUUAGUAUAUCUGGACACUCAAGAUGCUUACUUGAUGUUUAUCCUGUAAUUAUCAAUACAGUCAAUGCUUUUGGGAUAUCAGUUUAUGGCCUUAACUUUUAAUAGUCUAUCUCUGUUGGCAUCCAAUGCCAUAUCUGAGGACAAGUGGAUUUUUUGGUAUAUUAUAGAGGAUAAAAUCUUCCUUUAUAGCUUCUUAUAAAAAAAAAUUCUCUAUCAGAGUUAUCAAAUUGUGAUAUGCCCAAAUUCAUUAUUUUAUCAUAGCUUGAGUUUUCUGAGGAAUUAGUUUUCCUUGAAUGAUAUGUCCUAAGUUGAUAGGCAGUGAGUAAGGACAGGCAUGUAAUAACUGAUAAAGACUACAUGUUUUAAAGUGCUUACUUGGUUCCCCAGAGUUAGAGCAGUAGUUAACAGAGUUCAGUAUUUGACCCCUUAUGAUAUAAAAGAAAAUUUUAAUCAAGUUGGGUGGCAAAUGCAAAGGUAGAUAAAAUGAAUUAAAUGUAGUUGAACUGUUAUAGGCAGUCUCCAAAAGGCUCAAAAUUAAUGUACCUCAUGCAAAAUGAGGACUCAAUGCCUACUCAAAUACUAGCACCAUACAGGCUCAGGUGACAUGCUGAGCGGGCACAUCUUUGAUAGCAAUUAAAAUGUAAAAUAAAGACACAUACAUAAUAACCCACAAAGAAUUUUACAUGUGCAUUUGUAAAUGUUUCUAUAAUUUCUACAAAUAAAACAAAAAAAAAAGUUAAUGAUAUUGAUUGUUCUUCUCCCAAAUUACUGGGUUACCAUUUAAACUAGGGAACAUAGAGAUAUUUUAAAUACCUAAAAUAUCUCACAAAAUCCCUGAUAAGAAACUUACCCACAGAAAACAGAUCAUUUCAAUACAAAAUACUUUCUAGUGACCUCAGCACCACCUACCUGUGAUUUACAUGGGAAGGGGCAAACAAAGAUUUUCCUUUUCAUGAUCCAAAACCUACUACCACUGAGUCUUUUGGGGUACAUCAGACCUCUACUGUCUAAAAAUACUGUCUUUAGUCUUACUCUUGCAGAGAACACUGACCAAAUGGCACCAAUAAAUGUAUAGCUGGCUUGAAUUUGGCUAUCACAUCCAGCCUCCCCAAAAGUCAUGUUUGUUAUGCAAUUCCCUUUUGAGAACCACCAGCAUUUCCCAUUCAUUAUUUUCACAGAGCAAAGUAUGAUGUGCAUAGUAGCUAUGAUGGAAUUACCUAAUCCUUUUUGUAGGAAUCUCUUUAAUAGAAAUAAACGUCCUCUAUUAUUCAGUCCUAGUUUCUUUCUACUCUAGAAAAAUGGCAUCACUGUCAUCCAUCCAAAGGUGCCAAACUCACACUUGCUUCUUUCUGCCCACAUGCCGUUUCCUUUGUCUGAAAUCUCGUUCCAAAUCUUUCUACCUUUAAUACAUAGCUCACAUUAGUUCCAUCUCCUCAAUGAAGCUUAGUAGCAAUUCUGUACUCAAGUAUAGGGCUUCAUUAAAAGCAGCUCUAUAAUAACUCCUUUCUCCCACUUUAUAGAUGAAGAAACCGACGCACAAAAAGUUGAGUAACUUGCCAAGGAUCAACUAUACAGAGUGAGGAUUUGAACCCACAUAGCUUGUCUCUGAGGUUCAGUUCUCAGUAAGUAAUUUUUACUGACAGAUUUUGUUUUUAGUCUUAUUCCCACUUUUUAUCUGCCGCUGCUCUGAAUUCUUGCUUUAUACCUUCACUGAAAUAGAUAAAUUAUGUAGCAAGGUGAAAAAUCAGGUUACAUUCUAGAGCCUAUACAAAUAAAAAUGAAAAUAUUCCCUCAUACCUCAUAGAUGUUGGGACUAAGGACCAGAAAAAGCACACUACUCCGAAACACUCACCAGAAUUUCACCAGAAGCCAGGUCUACUAGUCAGAGCUCUAUUCAUCACAAGGUCUUUGCCAUCUUCCAAGGCAAAAGUGGAAGACAGUGUCUCCUUCCUUCUCAGGUAUAAAAGAACCUGUAAUUUGUCCUCUCAGCCAUUCUAACACAGUAAUAUUCUAUCCUUAAUUCAAGCAACUAAAAUUAAAGAACCAUCAUUUUUUUCAUUAUAAUUCAUUUUCCAUGUUCAAUUUUUGUAAAGUAAUAAGGAAUCCUCUAAUCUUUUUAAGUCAGAAUUACUAAGAUUAUCUCCUGAAACUUUAUGGCAUUUCAUUCCCCAUUUUGAUAAGUCCCAGCUUGUCUGAUAUGAAAUUUGUGAAUUUGUUGGUAGAGAGAUUUGGGCAAGUUCCCUUUUCUUUAUGGGCUUCAAUUUCCUCUUAAUGGUUCCAGGAACCAUUAAGUAAAUUUCUGUCUUCCAUCCCUGACCAUGCUACACUCCCUUUUGGGCAAACCACUACUCUGAAUUCUGAAUCUUUCUCCUUUGAACUACUUCCUUUCCACACACUAUAGCAUCCCUCAGUUCCAAUAUACAUUGUUCUUUCUCUCCCUGCUCUCUGUCCCUUUCCUGGGUUCCACAGCAAAAUCUGACUUUCUCUGUUUACCUUAGCAAUUUCAAGCAGGUUGACACCACAUGGUUCCUCACUGUCCACGAAAGACCAUUCUAGUCAAUGUGUGUUACUCUGCUCUCACCAUGUCUGAAUCUUUUCCUCCUAGCUACUGUUGUUGUAUCUCAUGACUGGUUGUUUCUCCAGGUGUGAUGCUCCGUCUACAAUAAUGCAGUGUACAACAGCGAAAGCCUCCUUGAAUUUCCAACUCCCUGUUGAUGCCUCUUUCAUGUUUCACAGGCCAGGAAAUAUUCUUCCCUUUCCAUGUAGUUAGCUUCUCACAUGGUACUCAUACUCCAGAGCAGGUACACAGAAGUCUACACUAAAAAUAAAAGUCCCAUCAUCAUCAUUUGGCUAACAUCUACUGAAUGCCCACAACAGACCAGUCACUAGGCCAAUUCUUAGACAGAAAUCAUCUCAUUCAAUCCUCCUAUCUCCAUGUGAUUUUUCCUACCAUAGCCCCAUUUUACUGCCGAGACACAGGCCUGGAAAUUAAGUAAUGUGCUAAAGAGUAAAUGACCUGCAAAGCAGGAACUGUCCACUAUUUCUCAUAUUACCAGUGUAGCUAUCUUAGUACCAGUACCAGUACCCACCAGAACCCAAACUCUGGAGAGCCAUCAUCAUGUAUGUGUUGCUCAUGCCUGUACCCCAGGACUAAGCAUGCAUGGUAGAUUCUUAGUAAGCAUUUGCUGAAUGAAGAUAGCAUACAGGGUCCCCCAACUCUUAUCUUCAGGGGAUAUAUUCUAAGACCCCCUCCCCCCCAGUGGAUGCCUGAAACCACAGAUAGCACCAAAUUCUAUACAUGCUGUUUUUUCCUAUACAUAUAUGACUGGGAUAAAGUUUAAUUUAUAAAUUAAGCAUAGGAAGAGAUUAACAAUAACUAAUCAUAAAAUGAACAAUUAUGCCAACAUACUAUAAUAAAAAAUUACUGAAAUCACAGAAAGCCAGAAUGUAGAUCACAGGGACUACUUUAUUUCCAAAGAGAGGAAAGUAUUUCUCCAUCUCAAGUUGUAGCUAACAGCUACGUUCUAACACAGAGCCACACUCGUGUGUUCACUGUUGCUGUGAUAGAAUAUGCUAGUAAUACUAUAUAGAUAUUAAUAUAACUAAUUGCCUUCAGAAAGUGACCUCUUUUUAGCUUAUAUUUAAGAUAGAUUUUAUUUCAUUUUUUUAUUUCAUUUUAUAUAAUGAAAGGAAUAUGUUGAAAUGUAAAGUAUUU
This 4036-nucleotide long non-coding RNA is filed under the name Canis lupus familiaris (dog). Its description in RNAcentral is "lncRNA (ENSCAFG00000051790.1)". Lineage: Eukaryota; Metazoa; Chordata; Mammalia; Carnivora; Canidae. The record is from RNAcentral.